This is a non-coding RNA of Schistosoma curassoni, 48 nucleotides long. The record is from Rfam. Lineage: Eukaryota; Metazoa; Platyhelminthes; Trematoda; Strigeidida; Schistosomatidae.
AUCUAGCUGAUGAGUCCGAAAUAGGACGAAGUGUCGCGCGUCCCGGAU